GCUGAAGCCUGGUGCUUGCACCGGGUGGAUGAGUGGCGAACGGGUGAGUAACACGUGAGUAACCUGCCCCUGACUUCGGGAUAAGCCCGGGAAACUGGGUCUAAUACCGGAUACGACCGUCGGACGCAUGUCUGGUGGUGGAAAGUUUUUUCGGUUGGGGAUGGGCUCGCGGCCUAUCAGUUUGUUGGUGAGGUAAUGGCUCACCAAGACGACGACGGGUAGCCGGCCUGAGAGGGCGACCGGCCACACUGGGACUGAGACACGGCCCAGACUCCUACGGGAGGCAGCAGUGGGGAAUAUUGCACAAUGGGGGAAACCCUGAUGCAGCGACGCAGCGUGCGGGAUGACGGCCUUCGGGUUGUAAACCGCUUUCAGCAGGGAAGAAGCGCAAGUGACGGUACCUGCAGAAGAAGUACCGGCUAACUACGUGCCAGCAGCCGCGGUAAUACGUAGGGUACGAGCGUUGUCCGGAAUUAUUGGGCGUAAAGAGCUCGUAGGUGGUUGGUCACGUCUGCUGUGGAAACGCAACGCUUAACGUUGCGCGUGCAGUGGGUACGGGCUGACUAGAGUGCAGUAGGGGAGUCUGGAAUUCCUGGUGUAGCGGUGAAAUGCGCAGAUAUCAGGAGGAACACCGGUGGCGAAGGCGGGACUCUGGGCUGUAACUGACACUGAGGAGCGAAAGCAUGGGGAGCGAACAGGAUUAGAUACCCUGGUAGUCCAUGCCGUAAACGUUGGGCACUAGGUGUGGGGGGCAUUCCACGUUCUCCGCGCCGUAGCUAACGCAUUAAGUGCCCCGCCUGGGGAGUACGGUCGCAAGGCUAAAACUCAAAGGAAUUGACGGGGGCCCGCACAAGCGGCGGAGCAUGCGGAUUAAUUCGAUGCAACGCGAAGAACCUUACCAAGGCUUGACAUACACCAGACCGUCCUGGAAACAGGUCCUCUUCUUUGAAGCUGGUGUACAGGUGGUGCAUGGUUGUCGUCAGCUCGUGUCGUGAGAUGUUGGGUUAAGUCCCGCAACGAGCGCAACCCUCGUUCUAUGUUGCCAGCACGUGAUGGUGGGAACUCAUAGGAGACUGCCGGGGUCAACUCGGAGGAAAGGUGGGGAUGACGUCAAAUCAUCAUGCCCUUUAUGUCUUGGGCUUCACG
Molecule: ribosomal RNA, 1146 nt
Filed under: uncultured bacterium
Lineage: Bacteria
Description: bacterial SSU rRNA
Rfam family: Bacterial small subunit ribosomal RNA
Source: RNAcentral